This 287-nucleotide unclassified non-coding RNA is filed under the name Hevea brasiliensis (rubber tree). Lineage: Eukaryota; Viridiplantae; Streptophyta; Magnoliopsida; Malpighiales; Euphorbiaceae. The record is from RNAcentral.
GAUAUCAAACUCAUAAUGAAAGGUUUCUUAAAUUUGGCAGCUUCACGCUACCCUGCUUCUUUACGGAGACACCCAACUGCAUUCCUACGGUUACCAAGGUCUCUAGUGAUCUUCCACUGUUUUCCAGGAGAUCCUCAUCUAUCCUUAUGGAAUCCUUUUCAAAGACGCAAAUUACAGUACUUCCACCAAAAGAAAAAUAUCCAAACUCAUCCCCUUUUUUCACAUAGUCACCCUCCUUUUUAGAGAAAUUAAUGCUACCAACCAUUGUUGCUCCAAUUGCAACAAAU